AUUGAACGCUGGCGGCAUGCCUUACACAUGCAAGUCGAACGGCAGUACGGGUGCUUGCACCUGGUGGCGAGUGGCGAACGGGUGAGUAAUACAUCGGAACGUACCUUAUCGUGGGGGAUAACGCAGCGAAAGCUGUGCUAAUACCGCAUACGCCCUGAGGGGGAAAGCGGGGGAUCGCAAGACCUCGCGCGAUUAGAGCGGCCGAUGCCUGAUUAGCUAGUUGGUGGGGUAAAAGCCCACCAAGGCGACGAUCAGUAGCUGGUCUGAGAGGACGAUCAGCCACACUGGGACUGAGACACGGCCCAGACUCCUACGGGAGGCAGCAGCGGGGAAUUUUGGACAAUGGGGGCAACCCUGAUCCAGCAAUGCCGCGUGAGUGAAGAAGGCCUUCGGGUUGUAAAGCUCUUUUGUCAGGGAAGAAACACCGGCUCUAACACAGUCCGGGAAUGACGGUACCUGAAGAAUAAGCACCGGCUAACUACGUGCCAGCAGCCGCAGUAA
This 501-nucleotide ribosomal RNA is filed under the name uncultured bacterium. RNAcentral's name for it is "partial 16S ribosomal RNA". It matches the Rfam family "Bacterial small subunit ribosomal RNA", at positions 29 to 523 of the family's 1533-position model. The record is from RNAcentral.